RNAcentral lists this microRNA precursor (94 nucleotides) under Tetraodon nigroviridis (spotted green pufferfish). Its description in RNAcentral is "miRNA (ENSTNIG00000020078.1)". Lineage: Eukaryota; Metazoa; Chordata; Actinopteri; Tetraodontiformes; Tetraodontidae. The record is from RNAcentral.
GGAUGGUAACGGAACCCAUAAUGCAGCUGUAAUUUCAGAGGUCCAGCUGGUUAUGGGGUCCGUUUCCAUCCCACGACGCACAGAACAUCGGGAU